Molecule: non-coding RNA, 232 nt
Filed under: Massilia sp. 9I
Lineage: Bacteria; Pseudomonadati; Pseudomonadota; Betaproteobacteria; Burkholderiales; Oxalobacteraceae
Source: RNAcentral
GUAUAAUGGCGGCGUUUUGGUGCUCGCGGUCGUGUUCACGACCGCAGUUAAACGGGAAACACGAAGCCCUUCAACAAGGCCAACGUGUGCUGCCCCCGCAACGGUAAGCAAGUACCGCGCAUGAUCGCUCAAGCGCGGCAAACCGUCUUCCAUGACCACUGUGCGAACGCAUGGGAAGGUCGGACGGCCAAACUUGCCAGCCCGGAUACCGGCCAAAAGGUGGAAGCGUGCC